This 583-nucleotide ribosomal RNA is filed under the name uncultured bacterium. RNAcentral describes it as "bacterial SSU rRNA". It matches the Rfam family "Bacterial small subunit ribosomal RNA", at positions 331 to 929 of the family's 1533-position model. The record is from RNAcentral.
CCAGACUCCUACGGGAGGCAGCAGUGAGGAAUCUUCCACAAUGGGCGAAAGCCUGAUGGAGCAACGCCGCGUGCAGGACGAAGGCCUUCGGGUUGUAAACUGCUUUUAUAAGUGAGGAAUAUGACGGUAACUUAUGAAUAAGGAUCGGCUAACUACGUGCCAGCAGCCGCGGUCAUACGUAGGAUCCGAGCGUUAUCCGGAGUGACUGGGCGUAAAGAGUUGCGUAGGCGGUUGUAUAAGUGAAUAGUGAAAUCUGGUGGCUCGACCAUACAGGCUAUUGUUCAAACUGUACAACUUGAGAGUGGUAGAGGUCACUGGAAUUUCUUGUGUAGGAGUGAAAUCCGUAGAUAUAAGAAGGAACACCAAUGGCGUAGGCAGGUGACUGGACCAUUUCUGACGCUAAGGCACGAAAGCGUGGGGAGCGAACCGGAUUAGAUACCCGGGUAGUCCACGCCGUAAACGAUGGAUACUGGCUGUUGGAGGUAUCGACCCCUUCAGUAGCGAAGCUAACGCGUUAAGUAUCCCGCCUGUGGAGUACGGCCGCAAGGCUAAAACAUAAAGGAAUUGACGGGGCCCGCACAAG